This 73-nucleotide transfer RNA is filed under the name Ovis aries (sheep). It matches the Rfam family "tRNA". Rfam says of the family: Transfer RNA (tRNA) molecules are approximately 80 nucleotides in length. Their secondary structure includes four short double-helical elements and three loops (D, anti-codon, and T loops). Further hydrogen bonds mediate the characteristic L-shaped molecular structure. tRNAs have two regions of fundamental functional importance: the anti-codon, which is responsible for specific mRNA codon recognition, and the 3' end, to which the tRNAs corresponding amino acid is attached (by aminoacyl-tRNA synthetases). tRNAs cope with the degeneracy of the genetic code in two manners: having more than one tRNA (with a specific anti-codon) for a particular amino acid; and 'wobble' base-pairing, i.e. permitting non-standard base-pairing at the 3rd anti-codon position. Lineage: Eukaryota; Metazoa; Chordata; Mammalia; Artiodactyla; Bovidae. The record is from Rfam by way of RNAcentral.
UUCCUAGUGGUUAUGGGGCUAAGACUCUGCGUUCCUAAUGCAGGGGGCCCAGGUUCAAUCCCUGGUCAGGGAA